This is a non-coding RNA of Callorhinus ursinus (northern fur seal), 1118 nucleotides long. Lineage: Eukaryota; Metazoa; Chordata; Mammalia; Carnivora; Otariidae. The record is from RefSeq and is a predicted model, not a curated record.
CUGUAUCUCUUAGGGACUUCCCGUUUGUUGGUAUUCUUGGCACCAAGUAAAAGAUUAAUUGUAGCCUCAUCCCUGGCUCUUGUCUGAAUCAGCACAGAUGGGUCAUGGUACAUAUUUUGGUCACAUCACAGAGUCACCUUUUUUUCUGACAGUGAGAUUUCAGUGACGCUAGCAUCCAUGGACACUGUGGGUAAAAAGAGAUGGUACCUCAAGGGAGAGAGCUUAGGAGGGACACCAAUGUAUAACCACGAGACAAAGGCCCUAAUGUAGUGGUCUGGCAAAGCAGGCUCAAGAACAUUCUACCUGUGCCCAUGGACCACCUAUCCCAAGGAGGAUGUCACGGCAGCUCCUAGAGGCCGCCUACAGUCCAUGCCCCCUUCCUCCAUCUUCGAAGAGAGCCACAGCAAGUGGAAUCCCUCCCACAUCACUCUGUAAGGACCCAUGUGUUUAAUUGGGCCCACCUGGAUAAUCCAGAAUAAUCUCACCAUCUAUCUCAAGGUCAACUGAUUCGCAAAUUUAACUGCAUCUACAAAUGUAAUUCUCUUUUGCCAUGUUGUAAGGCAAUAUAUUCACAGAUUCUGGGGAUUAGCAAAUGAAUAUUUUGGGGGUGUUUUACUUGGCCUAUCAGGAACCCUUUGCCAGAAAAGAAGGGGACCAGCACUACUGACUUUGUUCCAAAUUUCCACUGUUCUUUAAUGGGCACUGCUUUUCUGGGCAAUGAUUCCUGGGCACAGAUCUUUACUGAAAAUACCGGCUAAGUGUAGGAAGGUAUUCUCUUAAUGUGGGAGGAAAAGUCUUCAACAUUUCAAUGCAACAAAGGACAAAUACAGCACAACUGCAAAGAUAGUGUGAAACACUGAUGUCAUAAGUCUGUCGUCUUUGCCCUCCAGGCAGUGACUGGAGUGGAAGAGCGAUUUGGGAGGUGAAGAUAAACUAUUAUCAGGGGUCGCAUCUGUCGAGGUCCUGUGGAGUCCUACAGUAGAAGUCUCUAGAUGCAAGGCAAGGACAGGAGAAGCAUACAUCAUCCUGGGAGCAGAAUCUAUGCCAGAGGAGGAGUCAGCCAUCAUGAUUCGAGGAAGGAACAGAGGAGACACACAACUGGAUGGGCAUAGAAUUGA